GAUACAUCCCUAAUGGUUGGAGAGAUGGAGAAUGUCAUGGGAGAGAGAACCUGCAGAUCCUUGCCUGAGACAAGUUGUGGAAAGAAAGUUUUACAGUCCAUUUUGAAUCAAGGAAGACUCAUUGAAGACUCCACUGAGAAGAGUCUACUUUGAAGAAGGCAAACAGACCAAAAGGGUGAUAGAAACGUGCAGUUCUGUUGUGUGGGGAACAGUGUGAACUUCCUGAAGGCAAACAAACAAAAAGGAUGGGAGAAACAUGCAGUUCUGUUGCAUGUCUAACACUGACCUUCCUGGACUCAACAUUGGGAACUGAGAAGGGAGUUUAGAAAUGACGGAAUUUUGUGAGCUUUAAAGAAAAAAUGCUGGUCUUUAGUGUGGACAGACAGUUGGACUUCAGAUCUAGGACUGUGUGUAGUCAUCAGUCUUGAACAUUCAGAAACACUUCUUUGUUCUUUAUGGAUGAUGGUAGCUGGCUUUCAUUUCAGCAGUGCUUCCAAGAUGAAUACACAUAAAUAGUGUCUGCCAAAACCUAAAACAUACAGUCUGUAUUUAUUACUAGAGCGUUGUAAUGUAUCCCUCUUGUAUUUAAAAAUUUUAUACUACUCAACCUUAAUUGUGACUUUUUGUCAAUAAAUAACCUUUCAAAAGAAGUAUGGUUCCUAUUCAUGUUGUAAUCAACUCUCUAAUUUGUACCAUAGACAGCUUAAUAGAAUUGAAAUUUUAUUUUUUCUUGAUAUUGAGUAUGCAGUUUAUGGUACAUGAACUUACUGUUUGUUUUUCUUCAGAUUUUUCUGAGACUUUAUAUUGCAUUUAUAUUUUUUACAAUAGCAAUUUUAAUACUAAAUGUAUUGUGAUGUUAGAGAAGAUGAUUUUAGCAGAAUACCUUUUAUUUCUUCUGUGACAAUUCCAUACAUGUAAACAAUGUAUUGUGAUCAUAUUCCUCCCCAGCUCUCCAUUCUCAUUCCCUCUAAGUACUCUCAGCUUGUCUUCCUUUCACAGUGAUGUCCUCCUCCUGUAAUUCACUGAAUCCAAGUAAUAUUGACUGGUGUUACUUCCUUGCCCUUGUGCCAGUAACCAUAGCUACAGCAAGUUCACAAGUGUAGCUGUUAUGCCAUGUCUAGAGAUAGCAUUUCACAAUAUUCCUCCCCAUCUUUGUCUUUUACCUUCUUUCUUCCCUCUCUUCCAUGAUGUGUCCUGAGCCUUGAGUGGGGUAUGUUGAUAUUGAUGUCCCAUUUAGGUCUGAGCACUCAACAGUAACUUACUCUCUGCACUUUGGUCAGUUAUGAGUCUAUGUACUGGCUGCUGACUUUUGCUGAGAGAAGAUUCUUUGACCAAGAUUGAACACAACACUAAUGUAUGGAUAUAAUCAUAAAUACUUAAAAGUCAAUUUAAUGACAUGUUCAUUUAGUAAACCAACAGUAGGAGGUUUCCCCCUAGGAUGUAUGACCUCCUGAGCCAUGGGCUUUUGACCAGGUUUAUAGUACCAGGCAUGGAUUCCUCUUUCCUGUGGAGCAGACCUCAAAGUGGUUGGUUAUUGGAAUAAUAUUUAUGAUACUAUUGUACCAUUGGGCACAUCUUGCCUGGAAGGGUUACUGUAGCAUGCAGCUGGGUAACACUGUUGUUGGAUUUUCCCAACCACCAACCUGUAUAGCACCUUCUAUCAUUAUGAGAGCUAGCUAGCAGAAAGUUUUCAGGUCAGUUCAAGUUUGAUUUCUCAAUCUUCUGUAAACAAAGUGUGCUAUGUCUUCAUAGGGUCUUAACCAUCUAGCUCUGGUGGGAAAACAAGAGAGAAAUGGCAGUAGCCUGUGUUGUUUGGGGGUCUUUCCUGAUUAGUAACUUAUAGGCAGGUAUUCCACAUCUAGCACUGAGAGUUUUAUUUAGUAAUCCAUUUUCCAUCCAUGCAUGUUAAGUAUGUUAAAAUUCCUUUUAAAAAGGAAAUUAUAUGUGCAUAUAUAUAUAUAUAUAUACACACAUAAAUAUAUAUAGUUUGUUUGUUUUUUGAGACAGGGUUUCUCUGUGUAACAGUCCUGGCUGUCCUGGAACUUGCUUUAUAGGCCAUGCUGGCCUUGAACUCAAAAGAGCCACCUGCCUCUGCCUCCCAAGUGCUGGGAUUAAAGGCAUGCACCACCACCACCUGGCAAGAAAUUAUAUUUUUAAAUUAGCUUACAAAGUGGUGGGUUUCCUAAGUUUUUUAAAUACACACGCUCGUACCCACACACCCUUCUUCCCUCCCUCCCCCUUCCUUCCUUCCCUUAGUUUUAGUAGCUCAUUCCCAAUCCCUCCUCUUCUGUCUUCUCAUCCCAAUCCCUGCUUAAACCUUUAGCCCCCAAUAUUGCUUCACUCUAUUUUGGUAAUGCGUGUUUUACUAUCUCCUCACCUCUUUAAAGCCUCUUUUCCCCCAGAGAGUGAUUUGUAUUACUUGUAUACUAAAAUUUGACAAAUUGAUAUCAGAUUUUGGAAAUUAUUAUAAAAGUAUGGAAAGAAUCUUAUAAAUUGAUUUGAAUGAUACAAUAAAAUGUGGGGAUACUGUUAUACAAUAAGAUGUGAAAAUAUGCAUGAAGAACUAAAACAGGAAAAACUGACAAAAAUCAGAUUAAAUAAGUAGACGUUCAUAAAUUGUUAGCUUAAGAAAAAAAAAUAGCAGUUUAAAAAGUACCCUAAACUGCUGGGCCGUGGUGGUGCACGCCUUUAAUCCCAGCACUUGGGAGGCAGAGGCAGGGGGAAUCUCUGAGUUCGAGGUCAGCCUGGGCUACAAAGUGAGUUCUAGGAAAGGUGCAAAACUACACAGAGAAACCCUGUCUCGAAAAACCAAAAAAAAAAAAAAGUACCCCAAAUUAUUUCAUAGUUGAGAUCUUAAUGUAUAUUUUUAAAACAUUACAGUUAUUAGCUUGUUUCUAAUUCAACCUGGUCAAACCUGAACUCAUCAUCUUUCCAAACCUGAUCCCCUUUGAACUUUUCUGAAGAAAUGUAUCCAGUUGUUUGAAAUCAUCUACUACUUUCCAGUGACAGCUGUAUCAUUUCUUCUAAAUUGUUAGGUUUGUUUCUUUUUAAAUGUCUUUGAGUCUCUAUUUCUAUCCCUCUUACCCUAAACAUUUAUUGGGAUUAUAAUGGUAGUUUCACUUAUUUGCUAAAGCUCACCCAUUCUGUAGGCUUCUCAGAGGAAGCUAAAAGAAAAAGCAGAUCGAAUUACAGCUUGCCUCACUUCCUCUCCCUUAAAAUUCAUCUUCCAUAAAGGACUCAUCCAACGGCCUUUUAUAACAGUAAACAUCAAUUUGGUUCUCUUUUCUGAGCCAACACAAAGGUGGUAUUUCCUGUCUGUGAAAUGAGUUGGUUUAUAGAAGCUGUUGCAGCAGAAGAGAUGUAGAAAAGAAAAGGUAGUCAUUGGAAGAAAGCAAGAGAUUUUCCUUCCUGUGUAUAGAAGAUACUGCUGUUGAAACACUGACGGAAAUUGGAAUUACCCACUUUACUGAAUUGCCAAUUAAAUGUAAUAUUUAAUUAUUUUCUCCUUUUCUAGGCUGAAUAAUAGAUGCCACUUAGAUUUAAUUAGUCUCUGGAACUUGAUUGAAAUGCUUGAAAAGUUAUUAAUUGGUAGUUUUAGAUAUUUUCAUGUUAUCUCUAUGUGAUACUAAUUUCUAGUAUGAUUUAUUCAAGAUUCACUUAAUCUUUCAUUUCAAAUAAGUACUGGCUGUAGCUCAGUGGUAGAAUACUUUCUAGGUCCAUGAGCCCUUGUGCCUAUUCUUAGUGUUGCAAAAGAAAUAACAACAACAAACCAAGCAAGUAGAAUAAUGUGCAAAUUACAUUUCAUCAAAGGUGUUAAGAUAAACAGAAACGGCUUCAUAAAUGCUAAAAUGUUUUACUUUGAUAUUUAGUCAUCUUAUCCUGAAGUCAAGAUAAAGAAUUUAGUAAAAUUGUAUCAACUACAAACCUGCCUUUCAACAAUAGACUGUGAAACUCUUAAUGUUCGCCUUCCUUUUCAUCAUUUUGCAUGUAGAGAGUUUAUUUGACUCUCGUUGAGAGAAUGAAUUCAUCCUUAAAUAGUGUUCUUUCUAAUUUUCAUCCUCAGAGAUUAGUUUCCAAAUUGCUCCUUGGUGGUUGUACAGAUCUUUCUCUGUCAAAAUGGUUCACUUACAGUUCUAAAGACUUGAACCUCUCACUCCUGUCCCACCCCCACAAGUUCACACACCAUUAGGCAUUUCACUUAACCAAGACAGCAAUCCUCCUACCUUGAAACUCAUAUUAAAAAGUCUUGUCAAAUGAUUUUUUUGUAUGAUGAAUUUUCAUAUUCUAGAAAUAGCUCAAGGUGAAUAUUCCAUUUGAUACUGCUUUCUAGUUGAAUUAUUAAGUGUUCUUCAAAUAAAAUUGCCAGUCAUCACCAGCUUAUUUCUUGAAAUAGGAUCUUUAAGUUUAGCUUUCACAUGUUUAUUUAUGGUGACUUGUGUUAGUAUUGUAAAGGCAUAAAACUGUGUCUUUUUAUUGCUUCCAUGUAGAAAUGGACCUGCCCAUAAACAGCAAACUGCAGUUUAUUCUAUCAAGGCUGUUGUUGGUUUCCCCAUCUCUGACCACUAUGGCUGUGCAUUUGGGGAAGCAGACACAUCUUCACUUUCUGGAGCUUACAGGCUAUAUGUCACAACACCUUGGCCUGUCCCUGGCAUACAUGCUGUUUACCAAAUGCCUCCCUAUGAAAUAUUCAGCAUGUUAUUGACAGUGGGCUGAUAUUGGUUCCUGAAAUGAUAUGUUCAAGUUCAAAUUCCCAGAACCUGUGGUGACCUAACUUAGCAUAAGGACUUUUGUCUGUUUCUAAGAUUGAUAGCCCAGAGACAAAGAGGGCAUUUGGAUUACCUGGUUGGCCUAAGUCAAUGACUAGUGUCAUGGUGAGAAACAAGGGAAGGGACAGGAACAGGACGAAACAUGGGGUACCAUGGCCACAAGCCAAGAGGCAUUUGGAACCAUCAGAAGGUGAGAGGUGGGAAGGAUCCCACCCAGAGACCCUGAUGGAAGUGAAGCCUGUCUGCAUAUUGGAAGAAGUAAUUUGUUUCCUAGGUUUGUGACUCUUAAAAGUAGGUAGAGUUCAUUGAAUUCAGAAGAUAGUCUUCUUCGAGUUUGUAGAGUCAUAAGGGAAGUGCCAAACUGUUUGAAAUGGCUAAGCUGUCAUGGCUGUUGGGGACUUGUUAGGUAAACUCCUUUCAGCAUUUACUGAGAGCUUGCUCCUUGGUCAACUGCUUGCUAAUGUAAAAAGGGCUCUCUGAUGGAGGAUGUUUGUAGAGAGUGAUUUCUGCCAGUGGUAAAAGCUUUCAAAGGAUGAUUCUUAGAUAUUACGAAGAAAACUUAGAGUAGAUGUAGAAGGAUGAAAAAUUCCAUGAGUAGUGAGUUAAAAGAUUGGGUAGAUGUGGACAUCCUAACGCUGUGAAGGAAAUUGCCUGGUAAGUGACAUUGUUACAGUAAAAACGCAUAGAAAACUGGAGGGUGGAAGAUGCAUCUGCAAAAAACACAGGGGUUGUUUAGUCAUAAGAAGUCCUCUUGGCCUUGGGUAGCCCCUUAUUUUGGAGUAAAGAGGGUCUCUUGAAGUGGUUAGUUUUGGCAUUUGCAAUUGAAAGGGAACAUUAUAGUAAGAUUGGGGGAAGAACUGGAGGGACAAAAUUUAAGACUUAAGCCCAAGAAGCCCCAGUUUCCUUAAGAGAUCUAGAGGGUAAGAUGAACAUGGGCGGUAGAAGUGCUCUGAUGCUCCGAGAGAGGUUGGUUCUGUAGAGAAAAGACAUGAAGCACAUUUCUCUUACCCUGAGGAAUUCUCACUUGAAAAUUUGGUAUCUGUGUCUUAUUAACAUAACAGUAUCACUGAUUUUGAAAACUGGUGGCAGUUGCACUAGUACCAGAAAGAAAAGAAUGAACCAGCAUUUCUGUCAGAUAGACUGGGCAUUGCCUACUAACAGCAAGGAGGGUUAUAAGUAACCGUACACUUUCAAGGAAAAGUGAAGAGUUAAGAUUGACCCUGUUAGAUUGAGAUGUUUAUAGAAUUAAAAAAAAUAUAUAGCCCACUAAAUGAGCAGGUUUAAGAAGUUGUGUAGAGAUUGAGAUAUGGAAAACCCUCUGUGAAGUGAGUUUUAAUGUCACAAGACUAAAGAUGGAAUGCAAGGAGCAAUAAGCUUUGACAAGGACUGCUGAAAGGGACUGUAGGGAACAGUUGACAACAGAAGAAAUCAGUGCUUUGGGUCAAUACAUUGGUAUUUGACCAAUGAAUAUUUACCUUCCUUGGAUGCCAAUGAGAAGUUUUAUGAAGUAGUCCUUCAAAUGUGGCUCUGGUAAGUUUGUCAAGAGUUUCAAAGAAGCCAGAAAACUGAGUUGUGACAAUUCAGGCAAUGGUGCUCUCUGACCAGAAGUCAUUCUUGCCAUUUUCAUUCAUUAAAGGUGUUUCUCAAUGCUCAGUGUUCCAACUGAACAAUCUAUUUAUAGACACAUGUUUGAGAAUAGUCCUAUAUGGGAUACAAUAAUUUUAUUACUGUCAAAUAUAUAUGUAAAUCAUAAAAAUAUAAAGGUCUAUGUGAUCAUUUCAAAUGGCAAGGGUUCUGUGUACCAAAGCUAGUAUGGAAAACAGUAUUUUUAUAUUUAUACACUUUCCUUUUUAAUCUUAUAGUUGUCUGUUUUGUGAAAUUGAAGCAAAUAUCUAUACAUUUUAGUUAAAAAGUGGGCAUUGAUUUUCUUACUUAAUCAUGAUAUCGUGUUUUAAACGUGCUUCAAAGUUAUUCAACCACAAGAACACAUUUUGUUUUACUACCUAAAAAACGAGCAUUAAUAGUGGAGUGGGUUGUAGUUUUUGUGGUACCUCCUCAAGCAACUUUUUUUUAUAAUCUUUGCAAUGCCGCCCUCUAGUGACGGCUUUCCAACAUGCAUCAUUUGAGAAGUGGGCCCUAUCUGGAUUUCACUAGUUCUUUGCCUUAGCCUGUGUUUUCCCCUUCUCAUUGGGUAGUUUUGUUCUUCAUGCCAUGGUUUUUUAAAUUAUUAUUAUUAUUAUUAUUAUUAUUAUUAUUAUUAUUAUUAUUAUUAUUAUUAUUAUUUUGGUUUUUUUUUUUUGACGGGAUUUCUCUAUGUAGUUUUGGUGCCUGUCCUGGAGCUUGCUCUGUAGACCAGGUUGGACUCGAACUCACAGAGAUCUGCCUGCCUCUGCCUCCCGAGUGCUGGGAUUAAAGGCAUGUGCCACCACUGCCCAGCAGUUUUUAUUAUUGAAUGACAUAAGGAAGAGAUCAUGAGCUUUGGAGCAAAAACUAAAAUUAAUCGUGAAUUGUCACACUUUCUUGUAUUAACCUGUGCAUUCCUUAAUAAUCAUCAACUUUAUUCAGUGUAAAAAAUGACCCAUUGAGUAUAGAAUUUUCUUAUAUUAGUCUGCUCUAUAGAUGAAUAAAGUCCCUUUAUUAUUGUCAAUUUAUGUUUUAGAAUUUUUCUGUUCAGAUAUUUAAUUAGGUUGGAAAUAUGUAUAUAUUUGUUUUUUUAGGCCCUGUAAUUUGUUUUGAACUGUAUUUUCAUACUCUCUAAUCAAAUAAAUUAGUUUUUUUCUAGGUUUUUCUAAUAAUUUAGUUUUCCAGUCUCUCUCCCUGCCCCCCGUGUGUGUAUAAGUUUACUGUUUACUUCUUAGUGCAACUUUGACUAAAUGCCAUUAUCUGUAUCUAUAUAUCUGUAUUUAUAUCUGUAUCUAUACAGAUAAAGUUUGUCAUUAUUUGGUUUUCAAUAAAAAAGACCUGUAAUUUCCUUGAUCUAAAAGGUACUUAGGGGCCAGGAUAUGACUCAGUUGGUAAAGUGCUUGAAGUGCAAAUGUAAAGACCUAAGUUUGAAUCCUAAGCACCUAUAUAAAAGUUGGGCAUGGGGACAUGCAUCUGUAUCCUGAACAAGGCAGAUCUCCAAUGCUGCCUAGCCAGUCAGUGAGUUCUGGAUUCUAUGAGAGACUUUGUCUCAAGAAAUAGGGUGGAGAGUUCGAGAAGAGCAACAUUUGAUGUUGACUUCUGGCCUCUGUGUGCACACACACAUACAGUACUUAUGCAUACAUCACAACAAAAACAAAAACUGUUUAAAAUGAUUUCAGGUAUUUUGAAAUUGUGAAAUAUGUGUGUUUAAAAUAUUAUUAGAAUAAAAUGUGAUUUUUUCCUAAGAAUUUAUUUUUCUUUUGAUACAUUUUAAGCAGUAUUUAAAAUGUUUCCCAGCCAUUGAGGAACAAGGUGCACUUUCUGUGGGUUAUAAGGUGUUGUGUGUGUAUUACUUAGAUAUACUUCAUUUAUGACUGCUUCAACCAUUGUGUACUUAGGAGAGUUAAAGUUAUAUGUUACUGUUGUUUGCUUAUCAUUUUCUCAGUUCCCAACAUGUUUUAGUUAUACACAUUAUUUGAUUCUUAAAAAGUUCAUUAUUGAUACCUUCAUAGUGGGUUUUACUUUUUGCUAAAUAACAGUAUUCUUUUUCAAUAAAUUUUGCAGGUCAUUUGGCUAGCCAAAUCGGAGGAGAAGAAACUUGACCUUGUUUCCCACUGUGCACAAUUAUUGAAAUUUUAUAUGUGAAAAGCAAAAUAAUGAAGCCUCUAGAUACCUUCCUUGUCUUCAAGUAGGCUAGCAUUUCUUCCUUUUUUUUUUUUAAAGCCUGGAGAAUGAGUUAACUGUCUCUAGAGAGGAGAGUAUUGGAGUUCCUUCCAGCACUUACUCCAAAGAAAGGAAGCAUAGAAAGUGUUUCCUUUUAAAAAAUUUUAAGUCUUUUUUGUUUCUAAAGUUUUAUGAUUUUUCUUUAUAUCCUAGGUCAUGCAUAUAUGUCUUGUUAUUGCUUUUCAGGAUUGUAUAACCUUUUCUGUAUUUUCACCAUUUCAUAUACACAUAUAAUUUAUUGUGAUUAUAUUCAGUUUCCCUUAUUUUUUUCUGCCAUCUCCUUCCUUUCCCUCUUUCCCUCUUCUUCUUACCUAGUCUCCCAGUGGCUACACCAUUAGAGAAAAUGACCUCCUCUUUCCCAGAAUCCAUUAACAGUUACUAGCUCCUCAGGAAUGGAUGGAAUCUCAUGGUCACCUCCUCUAGUCGUGAUGGAAAGUUGGAGGACCUAGAUAAGUGCAAGCAUCCACAGCUGCUGUGUGUUCAUGGUUGUAACGAUAGUGUCACAUCUGGAUGGCAGCAUUUCAGAACAGUCCUUGCCAUCCUCUGGCUCAUUAUGUUUUCCUCCACUCUCUUGUGUGAUGCUCCUUGGUCCUUAAGACAAAGAGUGGUGGUGAUGUCCUAUUUAAAGUUGAUCACUUAUCGGUCACAUAUUUACCAGAUAGGUGUCUCUUCAUUAACCACUACCUCUGCAGAAAGGAGCUUCUCUGCCCGUUCCUGAGAGCUGCACUAGUCUAUGGACAUAAACAUAAAUAUGUAGAAGGCAGUUUGAUAUGUUCAUUUAGGGAAACAAUACUGUGUUUUGCUUGGAUCUAUUCCUUCCCCCUACCAUGGGUUUUGGACAGGGUUUAUAGUAACAGGCAUGUACUAUAUCCCUUCAAUCAGAAUGUCUGUUUUAAAAAAAUAACAGAUUCUUGUGAGGUUGUGUGGAAAAAGGGAACUCACAUUCAGUGUUGGUAGGAGUGUAGAAUGGUACAGUCACUAUAGAAUUCAGUAUAGUAGUUUGUCAAAAAGCUAACUAUAGAAUUUACAUAUGAUCCAGCUACCACACUUGAGUAUAUACUUGAAGGACUUUAUGACCUAUGACAAAUAUACUAGUAUAUCCGUGUUCAACAGGUGUCUGUGUAGUAGCUAGGAAAUGAAACCAGCCUAGGUGUCCACCAUCUGAAGAAUGAUAAUGAAAAUGAAAUACAUAUACAUAAUAGAAUUCUAGUCAGCCUUAAGGAAAUAAAACUAUGAAAUUUGCAGGAAAACAAAUGCAACUGGAAAAUACUGUACUAUUUAAGUAAACCCGGCACAGAAAGAUGCUGUUCUUCCUCAUAUGUAGAUCCCAGCUUUGGAUAUCGAGUUCUGUAUUUAAAUUUGAGUCAGUAUUUAUCGGGGCUAGGAAGCAAGAAAGGGGAGAUGAGCAACUAAUGAAGAAGAUAUAGUAAAGCAUAGAGGGUAUGAAACUGUGUGUGUUGGGGGUAGAUGGGAAUACUAGGUGUUAAAAGGCUGACACAGGGUUGGAUCAAAGGGUUGAGGUAAGUGGAGUUGGAAGAGGGUUAACAAAAAGUAAGGAUUAGUGAUAAAGCCAUAUGUAAACUGCUACUUUAUAAACUAAAAAAUAUAUCUUAAAAAUUAUGCAACAAAAACAGCUUGCUGCGGUAAUUCUCCUUAUGGUUAGAUAAUGCUGCUUCCAGAAGUCAUUGAUUAUUCAACAAGAAUCUUUGUGCCAGGUGUGGGAUACCUCUGUAUGAAUUAUUGGCCAGCGAGGACACAGAGGCCCCUAAAAGGAUAGAUGCUAUUGCCAUUACUCUUGGUGACCUACCAGAACUAGAUAAUCCAGUAAGACCCUAUUCCUGAGGACACUAUUGUUAUCAAUUAUAUAAAGAAGGCUCUGGCGGGUAGAGAACCCAGGUGCCCCGUGGCAGCUAAGAGACAAAGAUGCCAUGCAGACCGUGCUCAGUGAAGAGGUUUAUUUAGUGGGGAGAAGUGAAAAGGGGGGAGAGGGGAAGAGAGAGGGAGCGGCCCGAGGGUCUGCACACCUCCUGGGAGGAAAGUGGAAGAGGGGAGGAGGGAGAGAGGAAGAGGCGGGGUUUUCCCUUAAGAAGAGGCUUCUAUGUCAGGGCAUAGGGUGGCGCCAAGGGGCGAGAUCAGAAUAUUAACAGCUACACAUUUUGACUACAGGACACUGAGAAAUCAAGGUAGAACUAAACUGGAGGCUUCCUCUCUGCUGGCUAGCAUUCAGUACCAGAAAGUCAGGCUGCUGGGAGAGAAAACUUACCAAGGAUCUAGCUGUAGACCAUGUGUGAUAUAAUACCUACCUUCCAGGCAAGAUAUGCCCACCUGUGUAAUAGAGUCAUAACUAUUCUGGGGAUAACUAACUGAUUUGUGAUUGGAUUUAAACCUCACAUCAUGGGAGGGAAGCACACAUACGAUGCUUUAAGUCUGGUUAAAAGUAUUUCCUGCCAGGCGGUGGUGGCACUUGGGAGGCAGAGAGCCAGGCUGCUCUCUGUGUGUUCGAGGCCAGCCUGGUCUACAGAGUGAGAUCCAAGACAGGCACCAAAACAACACAGAGAAACCCUGUCUCGGAAAAAAAAACAACAACAACAAAACAAAACAACCCCCCCCAAAA
Molecule: long non-coding RNA, 11226 nt
Organism: Peromyscus californicus insignis
Lineage: Eukaryota; Metazoa; Chordata; Mammalia; Rodentia; Cricetidae
Exons: 3
Source: RefSeq, a predicted model, not a curated record